Molecule: non-coding RNA, 148 nt
Organism: Gorilla gorilla gorilla (western lowland gorilla)
Lineage: Eukaryota; Metazoa; Chordata; Mammalia; Primates; Hominidae
Rfam family: Metazoan signal recognition particle RNA
About the family: The signal recognition particle (SRP) is a universally conserved ribonucleoprotein.
Source: Rfam
GCCGGGUGUGGUGGUGCACGCCUGUAAUCCCAGCUACUCGGGAGGCUGAGGCAGGAGAAUCGCUUGAACCCAGGAGGUGGAGGUUGCAGUGAGCUAAGAUCACGCCACUGCACUCCAGCCUGGGUGGCAGAGUAAGACUCUGUCUCAA